Molecule: ribosomal RNA, 497 nt
Filed under: uncultured bacterium
Lineage: Bacteria
Description: partial 16S ribosomal RNA
Rfam family: Bacterial small subunit ribosomal RNA
Source: RNAcentral
GACGAACGCUGGCGGCGUGCCUAAUACAUGCAAGUCGAGCGAUGAGGGGUGGUACUUGUACCAAUUGGAUGAGCAGCGGACGGGUGAGUAACGCGUGGGGAAUCUGCCUUUGAGCGGGGGACAACAUUGGGAAACGAAUGCUAAUACCGCAUAAAAACUUGAAACACAAGGUUUAAGUGUGAAAGAUGCAAUUGCAUCACUCAAAGGUGAUAUCGCGUUGGAUUAGCUAGUUGGUGAGGGAAAGGCCCAACAAGGCGAUGAUACAUAGCCGACCUGAGAGGGUGGUUCGGCCCCUUUGGACCGGGACCCGGCCCCAACUCCCUCGGGAGGGCGCAGUAGGGAAUCUUCGGCCAUGGACGAAAGUCCGACCGGGGCACGCCGCGGGAGUGAAGAAGGGUCUCCGAUCGUUAAAACCCUUUGGUAGGGAAGAACGUAGGUGAGAGUUAAAAGCUCAUCAAUUGACGGUACCUACUCAGAAAGGCACGGCUAACUACGUG